This 152-nucleotide small nuclear RNA is filed under the name Leptobrachium leishanense (Leishan spiny toad). RNAcentral's name for it is "U2 spliceosomal RNA (ENSLLEG00000022809.1)". It matches the Rfam family "U2 spliceosomal RNA". From Rfam's summary of the family: U2 is a small nuclear RNA (snRNA) component of the spliceosome (involved in pre-mRNA splicing). Lineage: Eukaryota; Metazoa; Chordata; Amphibia; Anura; Megophryidae. The record is from Rfam by way of RNAcentral.
AUGGCUUCUCAGCCUUUUGGCUAAGAUCAAGUGUAAUAUCUUUUACUGGCACUUAUAGAAGCAUCAAAAUAUUUGGAUUUAUGCUAUCUUUUGAUAGAAAAAUCUUGAACCACGAAAGAGGAAGCCCUUCAACCCUCGAUCUUUCACCUUUA